AGCGGUUCUUAGGUGACGCACCCUGGAAUCAGGCUCCCUCCUCUCUGGUUCCAGGUGCAUCACCCAAGAACCGCA
This is a non-coding RNA of Myotis brandtii (Brandt's bat), 75 nucleotides long. NCBI's taxonomy places the organism in Eukaryota, Metazoa, Chordata, Mammalia, Chiroptera, Vespertilionidae. The record is from Rfam.